Molecule: long non-coding RNA, 2591 nt
Organism: Fukomys damarensis (Damara mole-rat)
Lineage: Eukaryota; Metazoa; Chordata; Mammalia; Rodentia; Bathyergidae
Exons: 3
Source: RefSeq, a predicted model, not a curated record
GCCCCGCCCCAAAGCUGCUGAGACCUGCGGGGAACCCAGGCCGGAUUUUCCGAUGCGAGGACCCAGGCUCCGCCUCGGAGAUUCUGUCCCUACCAGAAACCCUCUGCAAAUUACCAUCGCACACGCAUAAGGCUGCCGGUCCCUUGCUGCAUUUCGCUCCGGCAUCCCCGGCUGCCACUCUGGGCCUCCGCGGCUGCUGAACCACCUUCCCUCCUCCCGAACUCUCCUCUGAGGCCUCCCAAUCCCGCCAGCCCAGCCAGAAGCCGGAAAAGAUACAGAACCUCACGAAGGAUCCAGAACAAUAAAGGCAACAAGAUGUCUGAGAAGCCCAUACGGAUGGAACUGUCUGGCAAAGUCAGGUCCUUUAUCUGCAGAAGAGCACCUGGUGUCUUCUGCUGGACGCUACCUUCAUCCAUUGCACACAAUUUCAACAGAUCUGGUGCGGCAGAGACUGCUAUGAGACCCCUGUAUCCUUUCUUUCCCUUUUCCUUUCAGCAGUGGAGCUCUACAGGCUAGAUCCUGCAUCUGUGGCUACCCUGCUAGAAGCUUACAUACCCCAGCCCUCUUCCAGCUGGCUGCAGCUGUGGCCAAAGUCCUAGCCAGUGGGAUGGAACUGGAAGCAACUGUUAAAACAGAGCUCCCACCCUCUGCUUCCUGGUUUCUCUUUGUGAAGAUUAGAGGGUGGACGGGAGGAGAGGGGAGGGCACUUUUAUGAUCCUGACUGGAACAGCUCCCUAGCCUGGGCCAAGCAACAAGACUGAGGAGGGCUCCACCGUUGGUAGUAAAGCUACCAAGUUCCUGGACCAACCCAGUGGGGAGAUGCAGGGCUGCAGCCUCAUAGCCCAGAGUGUCACUGAUCCCUGGAUAACCCUGGGAACUUGGCCCCUGAUCUCUAGAAACACUCACCUGGGCUCACAAAGAUGUGUAAUACACCAGUGUAGCCAUCACAGAAUUGCUUCUACUUGCCCAAACCAAACACAAUUUCCACAUCUAGAUGCCUACGGGUAGCCUCACAUACUGCCGAGAUGAGAUAUUUGUGACUCUCAGGAUGAAGGGAAAAGGUGGGCAGGGUGGCCAGGAGAGCUGGCUAGGUGCACUUGUGCCUAUCUCUCAUCAGUCCCACUCUGAUGAUUGUAGGCUCAUGGCAGGGAGCCCACACUAGUGUCCCCAACACCAAACAGAACAGAACAGAGCAGAACAGAAAUCCAAACCCAAAAUCACGACCCCAAAGCCCAAAGCCAGUUGAAACUGCUAGACAGGCAUAAGCAGGGACAGUGAGCCUAGUAGUUGGAAUCAGACUCUGCAGAUUUUGCUACAGGAUCCAGGAUACAAACUUAUGCCUCUGACUGGGACAGGAUUUUCAAGGCUAAACCACAUACUCUAAUAUCCCCUAUCCCCAAGAACCAACUGAAGACUUGCUUAAAAGUAGGCUCAUCUGGAGGGCCUGGGCUGCUACACGCACUAUCCUAGCCUUCCGGGAAGAAGGGAAUUUGAUUUCCUGUGAAGACGGUGGAGGGGCAAUGUAUUGGGAUGGAAGGCCAUUCUGUCAGUGCCCUCUGCUGACUAGGCACGGGGCUGUGGGUUCCUAGAGAAGGCAUCAGACGGAGAUCUAGUUACCCAGUGGGAGCUGACGUCCCCCAGGUCGGCAGGGCAGAGAGGGGGCCCUGUACUCACUGUCCCAUGACAGAGGCCUCCAGCCUCCCUUCUGCUCUCUCUGGCCUCUGCCUCAGGCUGGGCCCCACUCACCACAGCCCCUCCAGGUAGGCGCGUAGCCGCGGCCGCAGACACUUUGGCUGAUCCUUCUCUCCCGGAAGAAGAGAACUGGAAAACCAGUGGCAGGUUGCUGCCAUCCACCACCAACAGCCUCUUCCAAUUAUCAGUAUUGGAAACGUCUGGUGGGUGAUGUCAGGGACAGAGCCUGCUGACAUCACAAAGGAAGCCCUCUGUCCUGGAACUCUGGGGACCCUUGAGGGGAGGGCUCUCGCGAUCUGGAGUUGAGCGUCUGAGCAUUUUCAGACAGGCUUGUGGGUAGGAACCUGUGCGGCAUUAUCUCAGUUCUGUCUGACCCUGACUCAUUGAGGAAUAUCUGGGACCUUUUAUUACUAUUUUACUACAGCUGAAGAAGCCCCUUCACUCCAAGCAACGAGCGGCAGAACCCAUCAGAAUUGGCUCCUGCGGAGCUCCGGAAGCUAACCAGAUGCUUCAGCAACCAGGCGAAGGCUUGAUCAAGGAGGUAAAAACAAAAACGCCCAACAGCUGAAUCUCACUCAGAGGACCUUUUGUGGUUUUUGACCUGAUGCCAGCCGCGUUCUCCAGAUCAGCCGAGCUUUGAUGACAAAGCCUGCACUCCCAGGACCAGUAGAGAGAGCAAGCAGAGGUGACCUCAUUCCCAAAAUUAAAAUUAUUUAUUUCGACUUCUUUGAUGGCAAGAGAACUAGCAAAAAGGAUUUGCCUUUCACUUCACUGGGAACUGUCUCGGGGUGAGGUUGAUAGUGGUAGGGGUGUGUGUUUAUUAGAAACAUUUGGCAAAAACAAUGGCUUGAUCCAAAAGCAUUACAGGUAGCCUGGGAAGUGAGAUGCUUUGCGAAAUA